This 346-nucleotide long non-coding RNA is filed under the name Fukomys damarensis (Damara mole-rat). RNAcentral's name for it is "lncRNA (ENSFDAG00000021971.1)". The record is from RNAcentral. Lineage: Eukaryota; Metazoa; Chordata; Mammalia; Rodentia; Bathyergidae.
AAUAUUAAUAUUUUUCUCCUUAUUUUUUGGAAAAAGUAAGAUAUUUUUAUUUCGGAAUGAAGCAACAAAACAACAGAGAUUCCUACAGCCACCACACUUUGGAACCCAAUCUAUUCAGUUAGUAAAUAUCACACUUCAUCUGAUAUCACUGAAAGAGUGUUGAAGUAUCUUUUAACAAUGGCUGCCUCCAGGUUCACCAAAAACACUUUGCUGAUCUCCUCUAUGAUUUUCAAUUACCAGAAAGUCUCUUGUGAUAAGAAUUUGGAAAUCCAGUAAGUACUCCAGAUUUCAGGAUUGUAUGACAGAGCCCUUUUUGCAAAUACACACAGAGAAAGAUGCAUUGCUG